GAAACCAACAGGGAUUGCCCUAGUAACGGCGAGUGAAGCGGCAACAGCUCAAAUUUGAAAUCUGGCGCAAGCCCGAGUUGUAAUUUGUAGAGGAUGCUUCAGGGCAGCGGCCGGUCUAAGUUCCUUGGAACAGGACGUCAUAGAGGGUGAGAAUCCCGUAUGCGACCGGUUGGCACCCGUCACGUAGCUCCUUCGACGAGUCGAGUUGUUUGGGAAUGCAGCUCUAAAUGGGAGGUAAAUUUCUUCUAAAGCUAAAUACCGGCCAGAGACCGAUAGCGCACAAGUAGAGUGAUCGAAAGAUGAAAAGCACUUUGGAAAGAGAGUUAAAAAGCACGUGAAAUUGUUGAAAGGGAAGCGCAUGCAACCAGACUUGUCGGCGGUGUUCCGCCGGUCUUCUGACCGGUCCAUUCGCCGCCGACAGGCCAGCAUCAUCUGGGCGCGCCGGAUAAAGGCGUAGGGAAUGUGGCUCCUCGGAGUAUUAUAGCCCCGCGCACAAUACGGCGCCGCUCGGGUGAGGUCCGCGCUUCGGCUAGGAUGCUGGCGUAAUGGUUGUCUGCGGCCCGUCUUGAAACACGGACCAAGGAGUCUAACAUCUAUGCGAGUGUUCGGGCGUCAAACCCCUACGCGUAAUGAAAGUGAACGGAGGUGGGAAGCGCAAGCUGCACCAUCGACCGAUCCUGAUGUCUUCGGAUGGAUUUGAGUAAGAGCAUAGCUGUUGGGACCCGAAAGAUGGUGAACUAUGCCUGAAUAGGGUGAAGCCAGAGGAAACUCUGGUGGAGGCUCGCAGCGGUUCUGACGUGCAAAUCGAUCGUCAAAUUUGGGUAUAGGGGCGAAAGACUAAUCGA
RNAcentral lists this ribosomal RNA (845 nucleotides) under Teratosphaeria cryptica. RNAcentral's name for it is "eukaryotic LSU rRNA". It matches the Rfam family "Eukaryotic large subunit ribosomal RNA", at positions 61 to 938 of the family's 3401-position model. The record is from RNAcentral. Lineage: Eukaryota; Fungi; Ascomycota; Dothideomycetes; Mycosphaerellales; Teratosphaeriaceae.